This 279-nucleotide ribosomal RNA is filed under the name uncultured methanogenic archaeon. RNAcentral's name for it is "partial 16S ribosomal RNA". It matches the Rfam family "Archaeal small subunit ribosomal RNA", at positions 1047 to 1325 of the family's 1478-position model. The record is from RNAcentral. Lineage: Archaea; Methanobacteriati; Methanobacteriota.
GAGACCCAUUUCCACUGUUGCUAACGACUCCGUGAGGAGGGCGAGUACACUGUGGAGACCGCUGGCGCUAAGCCAGAGGAAGGAUUGGUCGACGGUAGGUCAGUAUGCCCCGAAUAUCCCGGGCUACACGCGGGCUACAAUGGAUAGGACAAUGGGUAACGACACCGAAAGGUGAAGUCAAUCUCUUAAACCUAUCCUUAGUUCGGAUUGAGGGCUGAAACUCGCCCUCAUGAAGAUGGAAUCCGUAGUAAUCGCAUUUCAAAACAGUGCGGUGAAUAC